GGGGAAUAUUGGGCAAUGGGGGAAACCCUGACCCAGCAACGCCGCGUGAAGGAAGAAGGUUUUCGGAUUGUAAACUUCUGUUCUUGGUGAAGAGAAGAAGACGGUAGCCAAGGAGGAAGCCCCGGCUAACUACGUGCCAGCAGCCGCGGUAAUACGUAGGGGGCGAGCGUUGUCCGGAAUGAUUGGGCGUAAAGGGCGCGUAGGCGGCGAUGCAAGUCGGUAGUGGAAGUCCUGUUUUCAAGGCAGGAAUUGCUAUUGAAACUGCAUGGCUUGAGUGCAGGAGAGGUUAUCGGAAUUCCCGGUGUAGCGGUGAAAUGCGUAGAGAUCGGGAGGAACACCAGUGGCGAAGGCGGGUAACUGGACUGCAACUGACGCUGAGGCGCGAAAGUGUGGGGAGCAAAC
Molecule: ribosomal RNA, 402 nt
Filed under: uncultured bacterium
Lineage: Bacteria
Description: bacterial SSU rRNA
Rfam family: Bacterial small subunit ribosomal RNA
Source: RNAcentral